AUUUAAAUAACUUAAAGUUAGAGUGUAAUAUUGAAGAUAUUAAAGUGAUAGUUUUAUCUUUAAAUG
RNAcentral lists this transfer RNA (66 nucleotides) under Molanna angustata. Its description in RNAcentral is "tRNA-Phe". The record is from RNAcentral. Lineage: Eukaryota; Metazoa; Arthropoda; Insecta; Trichoptera; Molannidae.